RNAcentral lists this long non-coding RNA (926 nucleotides) under Numida meleagris (helmeted guineafowl). Its description in RNAcentral is "lncRNA (ENSNMEG00000018460.1)". Lineage: Eukaryota; Metazoa; Chordata; Aves; Galliformes; Numididae. The record is from RNAcentral.
AUGGUGCCCUCAGGCUUGCAGUGGGCUUGGAAGAAGUGUGGAGGGCAUCGUUUGCUCCCUGCCAUUGCUUCGUGUUGCUCCAUGGCUGUGAUAAGCCGCAGGCAGCAGCCUCUCCCCUUGCUAACGAGUUCUAUCAAACAAGGUGGCAUGGCACCCUUGCUAACUCACAGAGGGCUGUCAGCUCAUUGGGCAGGUAAUUCCCACCCUGUGAGGGUUGUAUCCUUCCCCCAUGGUAAAGAGGACAUCUCUUUUUCCUGCCCAGCGCCGUUGCUGCUGGCAUCCUCCUGGACUGGCCAUGCAAGGGAGCAACCGCAGUCAGAGACCUUCUGUGAGAAGUCCAUGUGGAGGUUGGGGGAGGAAGGAGGAUGUGCACGGAUUAUCCCGCUUGAACUGAGACAACUGGCAGCCAUAUGUCCUCCCUUCAGAUACUGGAAGGCCGCUCUCAGAUCUCCCCGGAGCCUUCUCUCCUCCAGGCUGAACAGCUCCAGGUCUCUCAGCCUGUCCUCAUAGGAGAAGUGUUCCAUCCCUGGGAUCAUUUUUGUGGCCUUCCUCUGGACACAUUUCAACAGGUCCACAUCUCUCCUGUACUGAGGACUCCACAUAUGGAUGCAGUACUUCAGGUGACUUUUCACCAGUGCAAAGCAGAGGGGCAGGAUCACCUCCCUUGCCCUGCUGGCCAUGCUGCUUUUGAUGCAGCCCAGGUACGAUUGGCUUUUGUAGGCUGCGAGGACACAUUGCUGGCUCAUGUCCAGCUUGCCAUCCACCAGUAUCCCCCAGGCCUUUUCAGCAGGGUUGUACUCCAUCCUUACAUCCCCCAGCUUGUACUGAUAGCAGGGGUUGCCAUGACUCAGGUGCAAAACCUUGAACUUGGAUUUAUUGAACCUCAUGAGUUUCUCCUGGGCCUGAGCCUGUGUAGGUCUCUCUGA